RNAcentral lists this ribosomal RNA (273 nucleotides) under uncultured bacterium. RNAcentral describes it as "partial 16S ribosomal RNA". It matches the Rfam family "Bacterial small subunit ribosomal RNA", at positions 523 to 796 of the family's 1533-position model. The record is from RNAcentral.
AUACGAAGGGGCAAGCGUUGUUCGGAAUAACUGGGCGUAAAGCGCACGUAGGCGGAAUGUUAAGUUAGAGGUGAAAUCCCAGGGCUCAACCCUGGAACUGCCUUUAAUACUGGCAAUCUAGAGACCGAUAGAGGUGAGUGGAAUUCCGAGUGUAGAGGUGAAAUUCGUAGAUAUUCGGAGGAACACCAGUGGCGAAGGCGGCUCACUGGCUCGGUACUGACGCUGAGGUGCGAAAGCGUGGGGAGCAAACAGUAUUAGAUACCCUUGUAGUCC